CAUAGGUUAAUGAGGCGAACCGGGGGAACUGAAACAUCUAAGUACCCCGAGGAAAAGAAAUCAACCGAGAUUCCCCCAGUAGCGGCGAGCGAACGGGGAGCAGCCCAGAGCCUGAAUCAGUGUGUGUGUUAGUGGAAGCGUCUGGAAAGGCGCGCGAUACAGGGUGACAGCCCCGUACACAAAAAUGCACAUGCUGUGAGCUCGAUGAGUAGGGCGGGACACGUGGUAUCCUGUCUGAAUAUGGGGGGACCAUCCUCCAAGGCUAAAUACUCCUGACUGACCGAUAGUGAACCAGUACCGUGAGGGAAAGGCGAAAAGAACCCCGGCGAGGGGAGUGAAAAAGAACCUGAAACCGUGUACGUACAAGCAGUGGGAGCACGCUUCGGCGUGUGACUGCGUACCUUUUGUAUAAUGGGUCAGCGACUUAUAUUCUGUAGCAAGGUUAACCGAAUAGGGGAGCCGAAGGGAAACCGAGUCUUAACUGGGCGUUAAGUUGCAGGGUAUAGACCCGAAACCCGGUGAUCUAGCCAUGGGCAGGUUGAAGGUUGGGUAACACUAACUGGAGGACCGAACCGACUAAUGUUGAAAAAUUAGCGGAUGACUUGUGGCUGGGGGUGAAAGGCCAAUCAAACCGGGAGAUAGCUGGUUCUCCCCGAAAGCUAUUUAGGUAGCGCCUCGUGAAUUCAUCUCCGGGGGUAGAGCACUGUUUCGGCAAGGGGGUCAUCCCGACUUACCAACCCGAUGCAAACUGCGAAUACCGGAGAAUGUUAUCACGGGAGACACACGGCGGGUGCUAACGUCCGUCGUGAAGAGGGAAACAACCCAGACCGCCAGCUAAGGUCCCAAAGUCAUGGUUAAGUGGGAAACGAUGUGGGAAGGCCCAGACAGCCAGGAUGUUGGCUUAGAAGCAGCCAUCAUUUAAAGAAAGCGUAAUAGCUCACUGGUCGAGUCGGCCUGCGCGGAAGAUGUAACGGGGCUAAACCAUGCACCGAAGCUGCGGCAGCGACGCUUAUGCGUUGUUGGGUAGGGGAGCGUUCUGUAAGCCUGUGAAGGUAUGCUGUGAGGCAUGCUGGAGGUAUCAGAAGUGCGAAUGCUGACAUAAGUAACGAUAAAGCGGGUGAAAAGCCCGCUCGCCGGAAGACCAAGGGUUCCUGUCCAACGUUAAUCGGGGCAGGGUGAGUCGACCCCUAAGGCGAGGCCGAAAGGCGUAGUCGAUGGGAAACAGGUUAAUAUUCCUGUACUUGGUGUUACUGCGAAGGGGGGACGGAGAAGGCUAUGUUGGCCGGGCGACGGUUGUCCCGGUUUAAGCGUGUAGGCUGGUUUUCCAGGCAAAUCCGGAAAAUCAAGGCUGAGGCGUGAUGACGAGGCACUACGGUGCUGAAGCAACAAAUGCCCUGCUUCCAGGAAAAGCCUCUAAGCAUCAGGUAACAUCAAAUCGUACCCCAAACCGACACAGGUGGUCAGGUAGAGAAUACCAAGGCGCUUGAGAGAACUCGGGUGAAGGAACUAGGCAAAAUGGUGCCGUAACUUCGGGAGAAGGCACGC
Molecule: ribosomal RNA, 1545 nt
Filed under: Escherichia coli
Lineage: Bacteria; Pseudomonadati; Pseudomonadota; Gammaproteobacteria; Enterobacterales; Enterobacteriaceae
Description: partial 23S ribosomal RNA
Rfam family: Bacterial large subunit ribosomal RNA
Source: RNAcentral